AGCACGGUAGGGAAGGAAGCUC
This 22-nucleotide microRNA is filed under the name Ananas comosus (pineapple). RNAcentral's name for it is "microRNA s1556_c089b". Lineage: Eukaryota; Viridiplantae; Streptophyta; Magnoliopsida; Poales; Bromeliaceae. The record is from RNAcentral.